GAUCCUGGCUCAGAACGAACGCUGGCGGCAGGCUUAACACAUGCAAGUUGAACGGGAUUUGUGUGGUGCUUGCACCAUAUAAUGAGAGUAGCGCACUGGUGAGUAACACGUGGGAACGUACCUUUUGGUGGGGGACAACAUCUGGAAACGGAUGCUAAUACCGCAUAAGACCUGAGGGUGAAAGAUUUAUCGCCGAAAGAACGGCCCGCGGAAGAUUAGGCAGUUGGUGGGUAAAGCCUACAAACCUCGAU
This 251-nucleotide ribosomal RNA is filed under the name uncultured bacterium. RNAcentral's name for it is "partial 16S ribosomal RNA". It matches the Rfam family "Bacterial small subunit ribosomal RNA", at positions 15 to 280 of the family's 1533-position model. The record is from RNAcentral.